RNAcentral lists this long non-coding RNA (1102 nucleotides) under Brassica rapa (field mustard). RNAcentral describes it as "long non-coding RNA (BRAP_LNC004380)". Lineage: Eukaryota; Viridiplantae; Streptophyta; Magnoliopsida; Brassicales; Brassicaceae. The record is from RNAcentral.
GACAACACACCCUUACCGGAACCCCACUGACUGCUGUUCAAAAAUCGGCUCCAUACUCUUCAUCUCAAACCUGAAAAAGCAACACUAUCGAGACAGAACUCCCUACAUUCAUUUAAGAGUAGCGUGAGCUUCUCAUCACAGGCAUCAUUCAGGGUAGACGGUCUAGGUGUGGAACAGGCUAUUUAAUGGUGGAGUUAAGAGUGUUUAGGGGCUACCAUUUCAUUGAAGAGGAUGCAGGAUAUCACACAAAAUGGCAAGAGAGGAUAGAUCCAUUGAUGUCCACAGCCUCUACUCGUUUUUGCUCUAUCUGGUGCGACUGUUCUGAUGACGGAACAGGCAACUGAUUGUUCUGCUUUCCACUUUCCUCUACACACUCUUCAAUACUUGGUACCAACUUCUUGCUCGACCUUUCUAGUGGCUCCAUGUUUCUUUUCUUUCUUCCCCUUCUCCAUCACAUUAAUCUCGUUUUUUUUUUCUUAUUCUUUUUUUUUAAGACUGAUAUGGUGAUGUGACGAAGAAGGAGGUAAUACAUGAUCGUUCUGAGUGCCACUGGUGGUUCUGAUUUCACGACCUUUCUGGUUCUCCACCCCUGCUCUUGCGCAGUUCAUUGGUUAUGUAGCGGUUGCUCCCUUAAUCUGCUUGUUCUCCCUUCUGACAUAAUUUUUGCAGCAGUAACGAGUAGGAGGCUGCGUUGAUCAUUUCCUCUCCAACCUUUUUGCACAUAUCUGCACAUAUGACACUGAAAAACAAAUGCAUGAAGGUGGAAUAAAGGCUAAGGUGCAGGGUGGGAACUAGCUAAAGAUGAGCUAGCCACUCAGGAUCAGAAAGAUGGAUAAAAAGGAUAAAAAGUCCUGAGUGUGUUCUCGUUUCCCUGAUCUAAUGCUCAUAACAAGAAGAAUUUCAGUUAAGAUUAGGUUCAAGUAAGGUGGAGUUAAGUCUACCCAGUGUAACCUGAUCGGCUGAGAACUUCUGGAGAAUCAAGUGAGAUAUGUCAGGUUGUUCCAGGUCCACAUGUGUGUCUUUCACCACUGCUAAGGUCACUGAAUAAGAUAACUAACGCACGAGGUGGUUAGUGAUCAACACGGAAUAAGGUCCUAAUUCC